This 433-nucleotide ribosomal RNA is filed under the name uncultured bacterium. Its description in RNAcentral is "partial 16S ribosomal RNA". It matches the Rfam family "Bacterial small subunit ribosomal RNA", at positions 29 to 507 of the family's 1533-position model. The record is from RNAcentral.
AACGAACGCUGGCGGCAGGCCUAACACAUGCAAGUCGAGCGGACCCUUCGGGGUUAGCGGCGGACGGGUGAGUAACGCGUGGGAACGUGCCCUUUGCUUCGGAAUAGCCCUGGGAAACUGGGAGUAAUACCGGAUACGCCCUUUUGGGGAAAGAUUUAUCGGCGAAGGAUCGGCCCGCGUUGGAUUAGGUAGUUGGUGGGGUAAUGGCCUACCAAGCCGACGAUCCAUAGCUGGUUUGAGAGGAUGAUCAGCCACACUGGGACUGAGACACGGCCCAGACUCAUACGGGAGGCAGCAGUGGGGAAUCUUAGACAAUGGGGGAAAACCUGAUCUAGCCAUGCCGCGUGAGCGAUGAAGGCCUUAGGGUUGUAAAGCUCUUUCACCGGGGAAGAUAAUGACGGUACCCGGAGAAGAAGCCCCGGCUAACUCCGUG